GAAUGUCACUUAACGUUGUUCUGUACCACUGAAAGUUGCAGAGUAUGAAGAGAACGUAUGGUGUGAUGACAUUCCCAUGGUCCUACCAACGUACUACUUGGAGGGCCUUAGCUCUAUGACAAUAAUGUGCUAGUUGGAGGUACUAAGAACCAAUGCUUCUUCGAUCACAAAGGUAAGCCUUUCAUUUUAAAUCCACUCAACAUACCACAAGUGAAGGACAAGUUAUGGGCUGCCCAAGUAAGAAGACAAAAUGUCUUAAAGAGGAUAGCAACAACUGUUGGGAAUAUUCCUCUCCAUAAAGGUUUCGAUGAUAACAAACAAGUCGAGCUCUAACAACUAUUUCUCUAAGUGUCAUGUAAAGGAUCACAUUGUGGAAGCAUCAUGUAAGGGACCACUUCAAUGAAGCCCAAGAUGCAAGUGGGAUUGACAAUUUAAAAGAACUCAAGAUGGAGAAUACGAAGAUUUAUUGAAGAGCUCUAAGAGACAUUGAAGAAGUGGAAGAACUCAAAUUGAAGACAAUGAAGAAGUAGAAGAACUCAAAUUGAAGAAAUUGAAGAGUUGGAUACUUCUAGAUUAAGAUGUAAUUCACGCACUCCCACACGCACUACACUCAUGCAUAUUAAUCAUGGACAACACUCAUGAAUUAACCCAAGGCAUGUUAACCUCCUUGUGUGACUGCCAGACAGUCAAAACACAAAACAGAGGUCAAGCGGCGCUCCCACACGCACUACACUCAUGCAUAUUAAUCAUGGACAACACUCAUGAAUUAACCCAAGGCAUGUUAACCUCCUUGUGUGACUGCCAGACAGUCAAAACACAAAACAGAGGUCAAGCGGCGCUCCCACACGCACUACACUCAUGCAUAUUAAUCAUGGACAACACUCAUGAAUUAACCCAAGGCAUGUUAACCUCCUUGUGUGACUGCCAGACAGUCAAAACACAAAACAGAGGUCAACCGGCGCUUUGCCUCUGUGAUGGAUUUUCCAUCAGAAACUGCAAACAACAGUCAACCGGCAACUGCCAGAUAGGAACCGGCAACCGUCGGAUUUAACCAGAAAUUUAACCGGCUAGCCGGAUCAAUUCCGGAUCAUUUGACUGUGUAUUAAACAGCCCACAGAGAGCAACCGGCAAGUUCUGGUUGGAAGCGGCAACUGUCGGUUGACCUCUAAAGACUCCAAUGGCUAUGUAACGGCUAUAUUUUUUAGUCUAACGGCUAGUUUCAUACAACUGGACUAGGAAGCGGCAAUUGCUGGUUGAGAAAAUUUCUACCCGUUAGAAAUUGUUCUCCUUCUAAAUUGGGUGAUCUUAUUACCCUAAUUGAGCCUAGUCUCUACCUAUAUAAAUACCCCAUUAAUGACUUUAAUAAAAAACAAUUUAAGUGAGCUUUAAGCAAUCAUAUCAAAGUCAAUUGUGAGAUUUAACUGCUAUUAUCAUUGGGGUUAUUCUUGAAGUCAAACAGGUUCUCCAAGAACUCAAAGACUUCAGCAAAGUCUCUCUCAUCAGCCCAUACCUAGGGGAGACUUCAUAAGGUGCAUUUAAGCUUAUAUUUUGCAUAUUCAUUUUGCACGCACUGCACGAGGUAAACUCGAACCAUUAUAUUCCACUUGUUUUAUUACUUUUUCAUUCUCCUAGACUGUAAUUAGGAUUGUGUAAGGAUCCUCUUAUCCUAAAAAGAGUUGGGUGACUCUCCACCGUAAAACGGGAUUGUAAGAGGUGCCUCUCUACUUGGAAAGAGAUUGUAAGGAUACUCUUGUCCUAAAUAAGAUUUUGUAAAGGUUUUCUACCCUACCUACUGUACUGAAAGGGAGAGCUAGUGGAAUACUUUACAAGUGGAACUUGUAGGGAGUGGAUUAGACUCGAGUUGAGUCGAACCACUAUAAACCUUGGCGUUGUGUGAUUGUGAGUAUUUUAUUCCGCAGUUUUUAUUUUGCAAUCAUAUUCGGGAACUCUUAUUCAAAAAAUGUUUAAAUUUCACUAGGAUAACCUAUUCACCCCCCUUUAGGUUAUUUCAAUUAGUAUCAGAGUGGGAGCUCAAAGGUUUUAGGACUAUUUUAGUCUUAACGUGAGUCAAAGACCAUGGUCGCAUCCCAAGGACCACCAGAGGGCAUGAAUGCCUAAAGACCCCCUUACUUUAACGGAGCAAAUUUCUUUCUAGAAGUGUAGAUUUAAGAACUUUUUAUGUGGUCAUAACAUAUUCAUAUGGAGGGUCAUAGAACAAGGACCAUACGUCAUCACCAAAGAAGUUGAAGGAAAAACGGUACUUAAGGAAGAGAAUGAAUGGACGGCCGAUGAUGUUAACCUCAUCCAAUACAACUUCAGAGCAAUUACCUUCCUCCAAUGCGCUCUCAACGAAGAAGAAUUCAAUCGAGUCAUAGCAUGUGAGUCAACCAAGCAAAUUUGGGAUAUGCUAGUAGUUACUCAUGAAGGCACAGAGGAAGUAAA
Long non-coding RNA from Macadamia integrifolia, 2442 nucleotides. RefSeq lists it as uncharacterized. Lineage: Eukaryota; Viridiplantae; Streptophyta; Magnoliopsida; Proteales; Proteaceae. The record is from RefSeq and is a predicted model, not a curated record. The transcript is spliced from 2 exons.